Molecule: long non-coding RNA, 1371 nt
Filed under: Pan troglodytes (chimpanzee)
Lineage: Eukaryota; Metazoa; Chordata; Mammalia; Primates; Hominidae
Description: long non-coding RNA NONPTRT005285
Source: RNAcentral
AACCACUACACAGAUUGCUUUGUCUUUGUAUUUAACAUUCCAGGUCUUAUUAUUGAUGCUUUCGGAGAGCUAAGAGACCAGCAGGAACAAGUGCGAGAAGAUAUGGAGGUAAUGUUACUCUACUAAUCCCAGCUCUAUUUUAAUAUCCCCAGAAGCAAAUAGAUUUUUUAAACAAUAGGUUUUACUAUUACUUAGGGCCAGUACUAAGCAAGAACACAGUUUGUUUUCCAUGCCCUGUGCUCUGCACCCUGCCAUACCCCUGCCAGGCCGGCCACUCUGCUGCCUCCUCCACUGUCCCACAAUCGGAGGGAGCAGUAUCCUCAGCUAAUCAGGAGCUAAGUGUAUGGCACUACUGAGUGAAUGACUAAUAGCCAAAAGCAUUAGAAAGUAAGUUUUCAUUGUCCUUCAAUUCGAUAGAAUCAUGACAGUUUUCUCUCCUGCCUAUAUUAUGCCAACAAAUGCCUUUUCUGCCUGUUAUUUUUCUUAGACUAAAUGUUUCAUCUGUGGGAUUGGCAAUGACUACUUUGACACGACCCCUCAUGGUUUUGAAACACAUACAUUACAAGAGCACAACUUAGCCAACUACUUGUUCUUUCUGAUGUAUUUGAUUAAUAAAGAUGAAACAGAGCACACGGGUCAGGAAUCUUAUGUCUGGAAGAUGUACCAAGAAAGGUGUUGGGAUUUCUUCCCAGCCGGUGACUGCUUUCGUAAACAAUAUGAAGAUCAGCUUGGAUAAAUCUGGAUGAAAGAAGCGCCACAAUUCUGGACAGUCAACUUCCCAUGAAAUAAAGUCCUCCUUUUACAGUUCUGCAACAUAUCUGAAAUGUGACAUUUUCUAAAUGCCUCCCUUAAAAAAAAAAAAAAAACUGUUUGCUGAAAAUCUGUGCUAUUUUGAAAUUAAUUUGGCUUUUUGUGCCUAAUGGACAUACACUGUGGGAGAGAACCUGUCAAGAUGUUGAAGAAGGAAGGCGAAGAAUCAAGUAAUCUCUAGGCAAAUGCCUUCAAGUUUUCCAGUUCUGAGGUAACUAGUUUGUUGGGAUGGAAGCAUGAAGGAAAGGGCUAGAGAAGUAUGAAAUCUCGAAUGUGUAAUACCUGAAAAUUUAAACACUUGAAUGUCAUCAUGGUAUCCAACUUGUGACUCAUAGGGUCUGAACUCCAAAAGAUAAUAACUGCAGUCUAAUUUUUCCCAUGGUACUUGCUAGUGACUGUAUCCAGAAAAGCUUUAAGCAGUUAAAGAAACAGAAAAAACCCGACACUUUGUCGACACUGAAAUAUCGAUUAAGUGCCUUAAAACCUCUUUAGACAUAGCUAUGCAAGUUUUUUAUGUUUGUGUUCCAGAAGGACAGUUCCAUUCAUUAGUUGUGAUCUUCC